AUUGGGGAAUCUAAUUGGCAAUGUCAGUGAGAAAAGCGACGAGGAUAAUGCUUCUCUUAAAACUUUGCGAGAUGCAAGUAUGAAAACAAGGAUGGUAAAGGAAGCAUAUGACAUCGAGAAGCAUCAUAUAUAGUGGAUAGAAGGCUAUGCAGAUAUAUGUUCAACAAAUGGCAUGCCCAAUAAUGAUGGACGGGUAACUAUGAGAAGGUUAUGGAAUUGUACAAUGUCCCGAGGCUUAGCCGUAACUCCUUUCCUCUUCUAACUCCCCCAAGAUCUGAAAAUGAUAAUAGCACUAUCGGUUUUGGAGUUGCGGGAAGCAAUUCAGACGGACUGAAUUCAGAGUGAGUAGUUGAUUGUGUGUGAAAAGCUUUUAGUGGCAGAUUCAGCAUCUAAGCUAAGGUUGAACUCCAAACUUCUCUAGGACUCAAUAGUUGGUUUGGUAAAUGGAAAUCCAAAAGUUGUAUGGAAGGCAGGCAUGAACAAGCAAUUAUCCAACUAUACAGUGAGUUUUUAGCCGAAUGUUCCCC
This is a long non-coding RNA of Spinacia oleracea (spinach), 527 nucleotides long. RefSeq lists it as uncharacterized. NCBI's taxonomy places the organism in Eukaryota, Viridiplantae, Streptophyta, Magnoliopsida, Caryophyllales, Amaranthaceae. The record is from RefSeq and is a predicted model, not a curated record. The transcript has 6 exons.